CGGCGGACGGGUGAGUAACGCGUGGGUAACCUGCCUCAUACAGGGGAGUAACAGUUAGAAAUGACUGCUAAUACCGCAUAAGACCACGGUACCGCAUGGUACAGUGGUAAAAACUCCGGUGGUAUGAGAUGGACCCGCGUCUGAUUAGGUAGUUGGUGGGGUAACGGCCUACCGAGCCGACGAUCAGUAGCCGACCUGAGAGGGUGACCGGCCACAUUGGGACUGAGACACGGCCCAG
Molecule: ribosomal RNA, 238 nt
Filed under: uncultured bacterium
Lineage: Bacteria
Description: partial 16S ribosomal RNA
Rfam family: Bacterial small subunit ribosomal RNA
Source: RNAcentral